ACGGAAGGCAGCAGUGGGGAAUAUUGGACAAUGGGGGAAACCCUGAUCCAGCGACGCCGCGUGAGUGAAGAAGGAUUUCGGUAUGUAAAGCUCUAUCAGCAGGGAAGAUAAUGACGGUACCUGAGUAAGAAGCCCCGGCUAACUACGUGCCAGCAGCCGCGGUAAUACGUAGGGGGCAAGCGUUAUCCGGAUUUACUGGGUGUAAAGGGAGCGUAGACGGCAGGGCAAGUCUGAUGUGAAAGCCCGGGGCUCAACCCCGGGACUGCAUUGGAAACUGUCCGGCUAGAGUGCAGGAGAGGUAAGUGGAAUUCCUAGUGUAGCGGUGAAAUGCGUAGAUAUUAGGAGGAACACCAGUGGCGAAGGCGGCUUACUGGACUGUAACUGACGUUGAGGCUCGAAAGCGUGGGUAGCAAACAGGAUUAGAUACCCUGGUA
This 434-nucleotide ribosomal RNA is filed under the name uncultured Lachnospiraceae bacterium. RNAcentral describes it as "bacterial SSU rRNA". It matches the Rfam family "Bacterial small subunit ribosomal RNA", at positions 341 to 792 of the family's 1533-position model. The record is from RNAcentral. Lineage: Bacteria; Bacillati; Bacillota; Clostridia; Lachnospirales; Lachnospiraceae.